Molecule: long non-coding RNA, 350 nt
Organism: Etheostoma spectabile (orangethroat darter)
Lineage: Eukaryota; Metazoa; Chordata; Actinopteri; Perciformes; Percidae
Exons: 3
Source: RefSeq, a predicted model, not a curated record
UUGUCUGAUUUAAAGACUUAUUCUGUGCAGAACACAUGUUGAGAGACUACAUCUGUUCAGAUCAUAGAUCAUCUACAGACUGCUGUUAACAUCAGCAACAGAUUACAUGUAGAGCAUUUUGACAGCUACUCUGUCAUAAUUAAAACAACUGAAGACUGUAUACAAGCUGAUAUGUAGGUCUGAUAACAUUUUCUUAAAUCGGAAUCGCACCACAGUGUUUCUUUGACUUCCUGUUCAGCCUGAAGGCUGCUGGAAUUGACUGGAAACUGUCCCACUUGAGAGCCGAUUUUGUCAUACCCUGCCUGCUCUCCUCCACUUUUUCAGGCGAAGCGCAGUUCAUCUCCAACGCG